UACGUAGGGGGCUAUCGUUGUCCGGAUUUAUUGGGCGUAAAGAGCGUGUAGGCGGCCAGGUAGGUCUGCUGUGAAAACUCGAGGCUCAACCUCGAGACGUCGGCGGAAACCAUCUGGCUAGAGUCCGGAAGAGGAGAGUGGAAUUCCUGGUGUAGCGGUGAAAUGCGCAGAUAUCAGGAGGAACACCAAUGGCGAAGGCAGCUCGCUGGGACGUGACUGACGCUGAGACGCGAAAGCGUGGGGAGCAAACAGG
Molecule: ribosomal RNA, 253 nt
Filed under: uncultured bacterium
Lineage: Bacteria
Description: partial 16S ribosomal RNA
Rfam family: Bacterial small subunit ribosomal RNA
Source: RNAcentral